CCUGGAACUAGCUCUUGUAGACCAGGCUAGUCUCGAACUCACAGAGAUCCGCCUGCCUCUGCCUCCUGAGUGCUGGGACUAAAGGCGUGUGCCACCACCGUCCAGCAAAUCAUUGGCUUUCUUGACCAUAAUUCAUUCAUUCACUCAACAAAUAUUUGUUGAGAGCCUGCUGUGUUGUAUUCAAUAUGCAAGAUAAUACACACCCAGACCAAGAAGCACUCGUCAUAAAUGGGGAACAAGUAACAGCUCCUCAGCCCGAUGGGACCUGCCUAUCUCAUCUUCUCUGGCACAGAGCCCUCCAGGCCUGGCUGUUUGACUUGGGCUAAUGAGGCAUAGCUGUGACACAGCAGAGGCUUGAUCAGCACUUGCAUGUUGGAACUGACCCUCUUGGAAUCCAGGUGUCAUAUAAAGAUGUUUGGAGCACAUUGUUGACAGAGUUUCUAGUCGUCAGCCAUCCCACCAGGCCUUGGACAUUUCAGUUCCAAGCAGCCCAUCAGAUGCGGAUGACUCCUUGAGCAAGUUCAGGUCAUGAUUGGCUAUGGGAACUGAAACCACAGAGAAUGAUAAGGAGGAUCACUGGUGUGGAAAACACAGCUCAGCCUCAGGAAGGAACUGCAUCCUGGAACUGGAGGCCUCUAUGACUCAUUCCCGGUCUCUCUGCACACCUGCCUAGGCCUUUGGUCCUUAAAAAGCCAUCCCUGAUCAAUUUGGCUUUUAUGCUGCUCGUGGUGGUUCGGAGCUCGGCUAGAACAGGAGUCAUCCGAGGCCAUCACAUUUAAUUUCCCACGGCUGUUGUAAUAAAACAUCACAAGCUGGGUGGUUUAAAACAACAGAAACUGCCUAGCUCACAGUUCUGGAGUCUGGAUGUGGAAAAUAAACAUGUUGGCAGGUCGGUUCAUUUGUAGGGUUCAGUGUGUGUGUGGGGGGGAACUCUGUUCCCUGCUCUUUCCUGGUGCUGGGGGAGACUGGCAAUCUCUGGUGUCCUGUAGCCUGCAGAUCCAGUUCCCGCCUCUACCCCCACACUGGAUUCUGUGCAUGUCUCUGCACCUUCACACGGGAGACCGCGUUUUGGAAGAAGGUCACGUUAGUCCAAGGACCAGACCGUACACAGGAAUGAGGCUCCAGGAGGACACAACUCAACCUACAUCAACAUUCAGACAUCCCUGGUUUUAGCUAUCAGUGAUGUCAGUAUCUAGGUUAGGUCAACUGGGCAACAAAUGUCUUUAUCAUGAGGGACAAAGACAAGGGAAGGAAACCUUUUAAACUCAAAUUCUCCUGAAUUGCAUGGGAUGAAAUGAGUUUUGUGGUGACCACAGAGAUCACCAUGGAAGAUUCUGCCGACUUCCCUGUUGCCUGGAGAAAUCCGGAGUGGCUGUUUGCAGAAGGAAGCAUUCUAAAAUGCAGAUAAUUAGAACAAACCUCUCAGAAAUGCAGGCGUGGCUCGCAGUUUAUUUUGGCAAGAAAACAGUGCAAUGAACAAUACUCAACUUAUAAAAUGGCCUUUGAGAAGAAUUUUUAAAAGCACCAGAAAGGUCAUAUGUUGUAACAUUAGACAAACAAAUAGAAACACAAAAAAGCCAAGAUGAAAAGUUGUGUUUGCAGCAUGAGUUCAAAUAGUCCCUAUAAACAAGGCCUGUGAAGUAGGGAGAGGAAGUAGAGGACCUGUCGCCUCCACUUCUACAAGCUUCUGGGUUGUCUACAUUUUUCCCCCCUCUCAUUGAUGUCGUGUUUUUAAGAAAUACACUUUUAAAAUUUGAUUUACAGAAAAGCUGUAACAAUUGAGAGAACUCUCAAACCCAGUAUUCCGUUUGCUCGAGUGCUAAAUUCUGUUUAGCACAACAAAUGAACCAGCACUGGCCUAUUAGUACUGACACAGUGGGAUUGGAAAUUUUAUUUGCCGGUUGAACUUUUAUAGUAUAUGGGCAUGGAGUCCAGGGCUUUAUUCAUACUAGGCAAAUGUUUCUCAAGCCCUUUUUGUUUCUUUGAGACUGGGUCUCAGCAUGUAGCCCAGGCUGGCGUUGGAUUUGCAUUCCUGCCUCUGCUUCCUGAGUGCUGGGGUUACAAGCAUGUGCACUCUGCCCUGCUUUUUAUGGGGAUUUUCAGAACCUCAUCUAAUGCUUUCCAGUCUUGGAUUUGGCAUUUAGCACUGUGCAGCUUGCUUAGUGAGCAUACCCUCUAAGGGGUUUUCUCAGACUUCGCUUGGUUUUGGUGAUCUUGAUGUUGUUUUUUUUAUUUUUCAAGACAAGGUUUUGCUAUGGAGCCCUGGCUGUCCUGGAACUCACACAUAGACCAGGUUGGACUUGAACUCAGAACUCAGAGAUCUGCCUGCCUCUACCUCCUGAGUUCUAGAAUUAAAAGGCACGUGCCGCCACCUGGGUCAGUCUAGAAGUAUGUAGAAGUAGGGGCUGACUUUGAUGAUAUUGAUUAAAGCUGGUUUGAUAUUGUGUAGAGUAUGCCUCCAUUUAUCCUAGAGAAGUUUUCCAUCUU
RNAcentral lists this long non-coding RNA (2487 nucleotides) under Cricetulus griseus (Chinese hamster). Its description in RNAcentral is "lncRNA (ENSCGRG00015038066.1)". The record is from RNAcentral. Lineage: Eukaryota; Metazoa; Chordata; Mammalia; Rodentia; Cricetidae.